UUUAUUCUCUAGCACACCACUUUAAGAUGUGUGUGGGAUAUUCUAAGUAUGGUGAAGUAUGCAUGGAGGUUAUGAGUGGUCAAUAAGAAAUCGAUCAUUUCUUAUAGGAGGAGAAAACAUCCUAUGUGAUCUCAUAGGAUGAUGACUCUGAAAGUUUGAUCAGAGCUGGGAUGAAUAGUAGAAAAUAUUUUUUUUGAUUCAUCAACUGAGUCAUCAUCAUC
This 221-nucleotide long non-coding RNA is filed under the name Elaeis guineensis (African oil palm). RNAcentral describes it as "long non-coding RNA (EGUI_LNC049691)". The record is from RNAcentral. Lineage: Eukaryota; Viridiplantae; Streptophyta; Magnoliopsida; Arecales; Arecaceae.